Molecule: ribosomal RNA, 912 nt
Filed under: Microbacterium sp.
Lineage: Bacteria; Bacillati; Actinomycetota; Actinomycetes; Micrococcales; Microbacteriaceae
Description: bacterial SSU rRNA
Rfam family: Bacterial small subunit ribosomal RNA
Source: RNAcentral
CACAUGCAAGUCGAACGGUGAAGCAGAGCUUGCUCUGUGGAUCAGUGGCGAACGGGUGAGAAACACGUGAGCAACCUGCCCCUGACUCUGGGAUAAGCGCUGGAAACGGCGUCUAAUACUGGAUAUGAGCUGCGAUCGCAUGGUCAGCAGUUGGAAAGAUUUUUCGGUCUGGGAUGGGCUCACGGCCUAUCAGCUUGUUGGUGAGGUAAUGGCUCACCAAGGCGUCGACGGGUAGCCGGCCUGAGAGGGUGACCGGCCACACUGGGACUGAGACACGGCCCAGACUCCUACGGGAGGCAGCAGUGGGGAAUAUUGCACAAUGGGCGAAAGCCUGAUGCAGCAACGCCGCGUGAGGGAUGACGGCCUUCGGGUUGUAAACCUCUUUUAGCAGGGAAGAAGCGAAAGUGACGGUACCUGCAGAAAAAGCGCCGGCUAACUACGUGCCAGCAGCCGCGGUAAUACGUAGGGCGCAAGCGUUAUCCGGAAUUAUUGGGCGUAAAGAGCUCGUAGGCGGUUUGUCGCGUCUGCUGUGAAAUCCCGAGGCUCAACCUCGGGUCUGCAGUGGGUACGGGCAGACUAGAGUGCGGUAGGGGAGAUUGGAAUUCCUGGUGUAGCGGUGGAAUGCGCAGAUAUCAGGAGGAACACCGAUGGCGAAGGCAGAUCUCUGGGCCGUUACUGACGCUGAGGAGCGAAAGGGUGGGGAGCAAACAGGCUUAGAUACCCUGGUAGUCCACCCCGUAAACGUUGGGAACUAGUUGUGGGGUCCAUUCCACGGAUUCCGUGACGCAGCUAACGCAUUAAGUUCCCCGCCUGGGGAGUACGGCCGCAAGGCUAAAACUCAAAGGAAUUGACGGGACCCGCACAAGCGGCGGAGCAUGCGGAUUAAUUCGAUGCAACGCGAAGAACUUACCA